Mesocricetus auratus (golden hamster) is the source of this 479-nucleotide long non-coding RNA. RefSeq lists it as uncharacterized. The record is from RefSeq and is a predicted model, not a curated record. NCBI's taxonomy places the organism in Eukaryota, Metazoa, Chordata, Mammalia, Rodentia, Cricetidae. The transcript has 3 exons.
GCACAGUGGAAAAAUAUUGUCUAAGGCUGUUGGACUGCUCUACGAAAUGGCUGGAGACAGAGGACUUUGUAAGACCCAAGUGAAUCCAGAAGGAAGUUCAAUCCCCUCUCUUCUCUAGAUUGAAUGAGAAGUUAGGACAGGCCAGUGGAUAAUGUCUGACUUCACACAGUCUGGGCCAGAGCCUCUGCUGAGAAGUUACAAAGACCAGCAGACGGAAAUGCACUCACGAGCUUUGGCGUCAGUGGCUGCUCUUCACAAGGCUACCCUGCUGCUGUUUGCAGGACCCGGGGAUCAAAAUUGGAUCAUUGGACUUGGAAGCAAGAACCUUCACCUGCUGAGCCAUCUUACCAGCCCCUAAAAUCUGAACUUUCGGAGUGCCAUACCAGCCCUAAAAUUCACAAAUGAAAGAGCAUUUGGAUUUUAGAACAUUUUACUAAAGAUAUAUAACCUGUGUAUGUGUGUGUGUGUGUGUGUGUGUG